AGUGAACGCUGGCGGCAGGCCUAACACAUGCAAGUCGAGCGGAAGCGCGGGGGCAACCCUGGCGGCGAGCGGCGGACGGGUGAGGAAUUCGUCGGAAUCUGCCUUUUUGUGGGGGAUAACGUAGGGAAACUUACGCUAAUACCGCAUACGUCCUACGUGUGAACGUGGGGGACCGCAAGGCCUCACGCAGAAAGAUGAGCCGACGACCGAUUAGCUAGUUGGUGGGGUAAAGGCCUACCAAGGCGACGAUCGGUAGCUGGUCUGAGAGGAUGAUCGGCCACACUGGGACUGAGACACGGCCCAGACUCCUACGGGAGGCAGCAGUGGGGAAUAUUGGGCAAUGGGCGCAAGCCUGAUCCAGCCAGGCCGCGUGUGUGAAGAAGGCCUUCGGGUUGUAAAGCACUUUUGUCCGGAAAGAAAACCCUGGAGCUAAUACCUGCGGGGGAUGACGGUACCGGAAGAAUAAGCACCGGCUAACUUCGUG
Molecule: ribosomal RNA, 484 nt
Filed under: uncultured bacterium
Lineage: Bacteria
Description: partial 16S ribosomal RNA
Rfam family: Bacterial small subunit ribosomal RNA
Source: RNAcentral